This is an RNA transcript of Carya illinoinensis, 4075 nucleotides long. It is a transcript of the gene named RING-box protein 1a-like, with no coding region annotated. The transcript has 4 exons. NCBI's taxonomy places the organism in Eukaryota, Viridiplantae, Streptophyta, Magnoliopsida, Fagales, Juglandaceae. The record is from RefSeq and is a predicted model, not a curated record.
AGAAUUUAGAAUAAGUUAAAAAUUAAAAUGUAUUUAGAUAUAUUUAUAAAAAAUUAAAAAAAUUAUGCAUUUCUUGCGUAGAAAGGUAUUGUUGUAGAUUUUAUGUAUUAAAAAAGUUUGAAUUAAAAUAAAUUUGGUGAUCCAAUAGUGGAGUUUUUAAAUAUUAAAUUAACGUUAAAAUUAGUUCCGUUCAACGGGGCCGUCUUUAUUUCUCUCCCGGCGACCAUUGGGAUCAAGAGCCGCGAAUCUAUGGACUCGGACGUUAUUAUGCUCCCAGGCUGGGAGUCCCAGCGGGCGAGGGCCCAUCCUCUUCCGUCGCCUUGUCUUCGUCUUCAACGAAGAAAAACAAGCACUUCGAAAUCAAAAAGUGGAACGCCGUCGCUCUUUGGGCCUGGGAUAUUGUUGUGGACAACUGUGCAAUCUGUAGGAACCACAUCAUGGAUCUCUGUGAGUGAUUGAGCUUUAAUCUCCUCUCAUUUCUUCUGUGAGUGAUUAAUCUGUAGGAACCACAUCAUUAAUCUCCUCUCAUUUAUUCUCACUUUUGUCUUAAUUCCUUUUGUUAUUCUCAGGUGUGGUGUAUUUAUUUUUUUCUCUCGUUUUCUUUCAAUGAUCAUUCAUGGCUGAUUUUGAUUUUUCCUAUUUUCUGUUUUGUGGUUUCGGGUUGGCAUUGAGUGCCAAGCUAAUCAGGCUAGUGCGACCAGCGAAGAAUGCACCGUCGCUUGGGGUACGUAUUCUUUUUUUUUUUCAAACCCGAACAAUGUAGUGGUGACACGGUGAGAGACUCCAAAUUUGAGGAAUAUAGUCUCACAGGUAGCAAUCAAGUAUAACUGAUGUUAUAUAUUCUAAGAUAUCGGGAAAAUUGUCGAUUAUAAUGUAUAAUUGGCGUGAUGAACUGCGUUGGCUUUUUGAUUGUGGAACUUGGUAAAUUUAGGAAUCUAGUUUUACUUUGUGCCACUGUGCCACUGCUAGCAAAUGGACUGGCAGGUUGAUGACUUCUUUACGCAUGCUGCCGUCUCAUAACGAAAGUUUACAUUAGUCUGGCGGAAUUGAACGUUUUUCUUAAUUAACAGGGAAUUGCUUCAUGUCCAAUAACAUUUCUCAUUUAUGUUCUUUAAUAAAACUGUUUCAUGCUUGAAGGAUGGAAAGGUGGUUUCAUGCUAUGGCAUUUUUGGUUUUCUUGGACCUGGCAAGAUUAUUCCGUCGUAUUGAAAGAAAAUAUGAGUUCUUCAGUAGCCAACUUCAUUUUUAUGGAUUUAUGUCAGGGUAACUUUGAGGCUGUCUGAAUGGGGGAGAUGGCUCUAAGCGAGGUAAUGGCGGGCUUAUGAAAGAGUGUGUUUGUGUUGGUGUUGGUAUAUAGUUUUGAGGAAGAUUUUCCACUUUUUUGGCUAUCAUAAUAUUAUCGUUUUGCGACUGGUUAGUUCUGUCUCUUCAUGAGGAACCUAAUUGUCACCUAUCUUUUGCUUUGUCAUGCUUUGUGUGGUUUCUCCCCCAGCUUUGGAUAAGUAGGUUCACACUAAACAAUGCAUUAUUAGUUGAAGCUUUGACUCAUGGCUCCUUGGAUUAGAGCAUUGGCAUUGGCUUCAUCAAAAGCCAAUGCAAAUGCAUAAAAUGAUGAAUAUGUGUAAAAAGCCCCUGCAUUGGAUUAGUCAAACCGGUAAAUGACAAGUUUUGACCUACAGUAAAUUUAUAGUUUCCUUCAAAUAUGAAGGGCUACUGCACACUCAUCUUCUCAUUAUGUUACUCGGUUUUAAUUCUCAUUACCGAACAGCUUUUUCCUUUCCCUCUUCAUUUUCCUCCCCGCGUUUUCUCUCCCCCUCUCUCUUUUUCAUUUCUCGCACGAAAGAGCACUCGGAUUCUUCACAAGAAUCACUCUGAUCUGGACCGAUUUUCAGACGAGCUUCUUCUCCAAGGCUGGCCGUUCAUCUUGGGUUUUGUAUAGCGCAACAUAAGAACCAACGACGAGCUGUUUACACACGCUCCAACGACCAGCGGCCUCACCGAGGUAGUUUCAAAGAUGGUCACGUCGUUUCUCCCAAUUUCGUCCAUCUUCUUCUAACGUCAUCGGGCUUUCCACAGCUCCGAUUAGACCCCCCACAAACACCAGAGGUUCUGUCAGCUCGAUCGAAGCGGCGGUGGUUUCAUCUCUUCUGAGGAGUUCAUGUCUAUUCCUGAAUUCGCCGUCAACCCUCUCUCCCAGAGAUUGUUGAGGAUGUUGGACGGAUUGAACUUUAAGGAAUUCGUGGCAUUCUUGUCCGCAUUCAGUCCCCGUGCGACUUUACAACAGAAAAUUGAGUGUAAUGACUCUUUAGUUUUUGUGAUGUCAUGUUUCUAGAAAUUAUCUUCUCUGAAUUUUCACCUAUUGGGGUGAUGGCGUCUCUUUGUUCCUAGUUAUUUUUAGAGUUUAUGAUUCGGAUGGCAAUGGAAGAGUUGCGAUGAAUGACAUGCUCGAAGUUUUGCGGGACUUGACAGGACAAUAUAUAUCUGAACAACAAAGGGAGGUUAGUUCUUAACUACAAAAUGUUUGAAGAAUGAAUCUUCUGAUUAGUGGCCUUAUUUGAAAGGUUUCGGGCUAUGCAAUUCAUGUGCGUUUUCUUUUUAAUUGGUAAUACAGUUUAAAGGUUUCUUUUCCCUUUACAAGUAAGAAAUCUUUAAUAAUAAGGCAAAAGGUGUGACGCAAACAGUUUAAAAGGCUAUAUACGUGAAACCUUAUUGUGUUGGUUAUCAUCAGUGGCCUUUUUUAAUAUUGAAUCUAUGAACUUGAAAAUACAGGGAUAUCGUAGCAGUCUUCAAUUGCAUGAUAUGUGCACAUAGGGUUCAAGUUUGCUUUGAAAGUGAUAUGGUUGUUGGAGAUUUUCAACAAUAUCAACAGAAAAGGAAGAUAGGAAAAAUGACUUGGAACAAAUACAAAAUCUGUUCUUGAAUGUUUAUUUGCUUGUAUAAAUAUGGCAAAUCUUGAAUGACUCUGCAUUCCUCUAAUUUAGCACUUUUUUCUAAAUGCUGAUGCACUUUGGCCAAAUACUUCAAAUUCUUUACUCUUUUUAUGAGACGAGUGACAUUAAGAAAUACAAUAUGUUCUUUUCUUUUUUUCUUUUUUUGUUCAGGGGAGGAUCCAUUUGAGUUAGAUCCCAUUAGAGUAAUAAAAUAUCAACUGUUCUGUAAAUCUAUUAGGGUGAGAAAUAAGGUUUAAAAUUUCUAAUGGAAAUUGAAUAAAAUCAACUUUAUUUACAUAUGGCUAAUAUGCGCACACGUGGGAUGAACUUAAAAGAGAGCAUAUCGAUUACUGCUAAUUACUUAAACGAUUUUGAACUUGAUAUGCGUGGUUAUUAUAUGUGCUGCUGAAUAUCUUGUUUUGCAUGUGUGGUUUUGUUGAUGUCUGGUACAGCAAGUUCUGACCCAAGUCCUUGAGGAAGCAGGCUACACAAAGGAUUCUUUGUUAGUUUUGUCGGACUUCAUGAAGGCAUUGUGUCGCUUUAUUUUGAAUAUAAUCCUUUCUAUGUGAACUUUCAUCAUUAUCUAUUUCCAAAUAGUUUGCUUUAAUUUGAUGAAAUACAUCUCACGUGAUUAGACUCCGAAAAAACAAUUACAUAUAGUUGCCCUUCUGCUUCAUUAUUUAAGCAAAUUCUAUUCUUUUGAAAGAAAAAUUUUUCCUGCUGCCUACAGAUUCUUGGCAAUUCUGAUUUUAAGAUUGGGGUUGGAAAAAGUUUGCGUGAUAAUUAUGAUUUUAAGCUUUGCUUGUUCUGAAAGAGGACCUUAUGCAAUUAGUUGUUUUGCCGCCUCUGUUUGAGUGUAAGAGUUUUUGCAGAAAUGAAGAGCUUUUAACUUCUGCAAUUAUCGCUCUGAAAAAUUGAAGUUUCAGUGCAGCUUGAAGAGAUAAAAAAAAAAUAUAUAUGAGCAAGUUGGAAGAACACAGCGAUGGGCAACAGCGACAAAGAUGGAUUUUUGACUUGAGGCUGUAUUUUUUAAUUUAAGAAGCUGUAUUCGUGAAGUUUAUUUGUGUAGCGAUCAAAAACUCUGAUUUGUCUAGCUUCCAGGAACUUUGUUGAUCAUACAGGGAAUAUAAUUAUUUGUGAUGCAA